This 465-nucleotide ribosomal RNA is filed under the name uncultured bacterium. RNAcentral describes it as "partial 16S ribosomal RNA". It matches the Rfam family "Bacterial small subunit ribosomal RNA", at positions 338 to 795 of the family's 1533-position model. The record is from RNAcentral.
CCUACGGGUGGCAGCAGUGGGGAAUAUUGCGCAAUGGGCGAAAGCCUGACGCAGCGACGCCGCGUGAGGGAUGAAGGUCUUCGGAUCGUAAACCUCUGUCAGCAGGGAAGAACGGUCACUGUGCUAAUCAGCAGUGAAUUGACGGUACCUGCAAAGGAAGCACCGGCUAACUCCGUGCCAGCAGCCGCGGUAAUACGGAGGGUGCGAGCGUUAAUCGGAUUUACUGGGCGUAAAGCGCUCGUAGGCGGUAUGUCAAGUCAAGGGUGAAAUCCCCGCGCUCAACGUGGGAACUGCCUUUGAAACUGGCAGACUGGAGUGUGUGAGAGGAUAGUGGAAUUCAAGGUGUAGGAGUGAAAUCCGUAGAUAUCUGGAGGAACAUCAGUGGCGAAGGCGACUAUCUGGCACAUAACUGACGCUGAGGAGCGAAAGCGUGGGUAGCAAACAGGAUUAGAUACCCGGGUAGUC